GGAAUAUUGCACAAUGGGGGAAACCCCGCUGCAGCAACGCCGCGUGAAGGGAGACGGUUUUUGUAUUGUAAACUUCUUUUCUUAGUGAAGAAGAAAGUGACGGUAGCUAAGGAAUAAGCAUCGGCUAACAACGUGCCAGCAGCCGCGGUAAUACGUAGGAUGCGAGCGUUAUCCGGAAUUACUGGGUGUAAAGGGAGCGCAGGCGGGACGGCAAGUUGGAUGUGAAAUGCCGCAGCUUAACUGCGGAGCUGCAUCCAAAACUGUAGUUCUUGAGUGGAGUAGAGGCAAGCGGAAUUCCGAGUGUAGCGGUGAAAUGCGUAGAUAUUCGGAGGAACACCAGUGGCGAAGGCGGCUUGCUGGGCUCUAACUGACGCUGAGGCUCGAAAGUGUGGGGAGCAAAC
This 401-nucleotide ribosomal RNA is filed under the name uncultured bacterium. RNAcentral describes it as "bacterial SSU rRNA". It matches the Rfam family "Bacterial small subunit ribosomal RNA", at positions 358 to 773 of the family's 1533-position model. The record is from RNAcentral.